Molecule: ribosomal RNA, 468 nt
Filed under: uncultured bacterium
Lineage: Bacteria
Description: partial 16S ribosomal RNA
Rfam family: Bacterial small subunit ribosomal RNA
Source: RNAcentral
GACGAACGCUGGCGGCGUGCUUAACACAUGCAAGUCGAACGGAAAGGCCCUGCUUUUGUGGGGUGCUCGAGUGGCGAACGGGUGAGUAACACGUGAGUAACCUGCCCUUGACUUUGGGAUAACUUCAUGAAACUGGGGCUAAUACCGGAUAGGAGCUCCUGCUGCAUGGUGGGGGUUGGAAAGUUUCGGCGGUUGGGGAUGGACUCGCGGCUCAUCAGCUUGUUGGUGGGGUAGUGGCUUACCAAGGCUUUGAAGGGUAGCCGGCCUGAGAGGGUGACCGGCCACAUUGGGACUGAGAUACGGCCCAGACUCCUACGGGAGGCAGCAGUGGGGAAUAUUGCACAAUGGGCGGAAGCCUGAUGCAGCAACGCCGCGUGCGGGAUGACGGCCUUCGGGUUGUAAACCGAUUUCGCCUGUGACGAAGCGUGAGUGACGGUAAUGGGUAAAGAAGCACCGGCUAACUACGUG